GAGAGUUAAUGCCUCCCCGUGCGAGAGAGUUAUAUCACGCAGCACCAGUGCGAGGUCAGCAGUCUGGCUGGGGCUCGGACGUCGCUGCGUGUGCCAACAAGCACCCCGGGCAGCCCUUGAGAGGGUUCCAAAUCCAGGUUUCAUUCUGCAGCCUGGAGGAUGCUUUGACAAUCGCCUUGCGAAAGGAAACUAGAAGCUGCAUCGGUGAUUCCCAGACAAGCCACGGGUUAGAUCACGGAACUCCCCCAGCUGGGAGCCCACUGAUGCAGUGACAAAGGGAGCCCGGCUGAGAUCCUGCUCAGGUGAGGAAAUUGAAGCCCAGAGAAGGAAAACAAUUUUCCAAGAUUGGCAGCAGCACGAAGACGUGAUUUCAGUUUUACCAGUGUCUUUAUUGUCGGCUGUCUACACCCUCAGAAUCCUUUCUUUCUCUGAUGGAUCCUAAUCAAGGAAACAGCGAGAAGCAGGCAGUUUACUGGGGGUGCUCUCCCUGAGCGCCUCUGGUGGAGAAGAUGCUCUGAAGAAGGAAAGUGUGGACACCCCUCCACAUGCCGAGAUGCAGCCGUGGGUGAAAAGAAAACCACAGCGCAGUUGUCGUGAUAAAAGCCCGCAGAGACUGCCGUGCACACCCCAGGCCAGCUGAACCGACGUCGUCCUGGCCACCCCAGGUCUCGCAAGCUGCUGUUCUUAGAGCAUCUUAUCCAAGUCCAAGGGCAGUGGGGUUAUUACAAGAUAUUAAGCAGAGUUCCCUGUGCUCUACAAUCGAAAACCAUGUGCACCACAUUUUCCCAGACCUGAUCUUAAUGUAGAUAAAAGUGAGAAACCCAGAGGGGAGCCUGCUGUUGAAGCCCUGCAUUGUAUGCUCUAAUUUAAUCAUCGUGUGCCGCAGGAUUUCUUUGCAUAAAUUACAACCACAAUGAUAGCAUCACUUUCACAAAAGGUGGUCUCCGGUCGAUUCAACUCUCCAAGUCAUGGCCGGGUUGUUCAAAGCAGAGAAAGGGAGCCUGCGGUCUUACAGAGCUGGAGAAUGCACCUGGGGCUCGUGGUGGAGGCCAAUCGGGCGACACCUCCCUGCUCCUUGCCUAUUCAGCUCAUUUUCCUUUUCAUCUCGACAUCUGCUAACUGCUUGGUUUUUAUUUUCCGGGAAUAAAGGGUUAUUGGCAAUGGGCACCACCCUGGUGUAUGAAGGAGGGGGUUUCUAGGAAGACCCCCAGAGUGGAGAAGUGAUGGAGGGAAACAUCCUCCUAUGAUGCCUCCCCUGGCCUCCUUUUUCUCCUCCUUUCCAUCCCCCCAUCCGUUGGACAAACACAAUUUUUAAAUUAUCUGCAUUUUCAAUGCUCUUGGGUCUUCAUCUGGAAAAGCACUGUCCCUGUGCUGCUCUGAACAGUCCUGCACCCAUGGCCUCCCUUUUCCCAGGCUUAAAAUUGUCUCCCUCAGAACCUUGGAAGCAAGUUUUGUAAGCCCCUCUAUAGAAGGCAGGCGGCUAGCCAGCUGUGCUUGUCUGCAUCGUGGUGGUCCCAGAGAGCUCUGGACAAUUCUUUGAAAGAACAGGGGUGGGAAGAUUCUCAGGACACAGGCAGCUCAUGUCCGUCCUUGGAGAUUUAUUUCACAAAGGACAUCUAAAAUAAAGGUAAAAUUGAAUCUGUGGAAACUGCUCCUGUUUCCCAAUGGAUUGAGUCUAGAGGAAAUGGGAUUUUUUUUUCACAAUUUUCCCAACAGAGUGAUUCUUUUAGUGCCAAAACCCUCGAAAGAGAAUGAAGCUCACAUAUCACACCUAUGUGUGCAACAGCAGGAACGUGCAAUGGAAAAUCCAACGGCUACAAGCAGAGAGUUGAUCUUCAAUAAAGGUUAAACAAUAAAUGAAAACUUCAAUAUUGUCACUGCUGCUCAAAAAAGUGGUGGUCAUCAACAUAUGCAAAUGUGCACUGCCUUUUAAAACCACAGCAAUGCAAAGUCUCAUCUCCUGUCAAAUCACCAUGGGAAUUGUUGAUUCCUGGGGGCGAAAUAGGAGACCAGCCAGCCUCUGGGUGUGUGUAUGUGUACGUACUGUGCAAACACACAGUUAAGCCCACCUGGGCAGCCUGGUUCUGCCUUGUGUCUUCUCGGUGGGGGGAAGGGUCAUGAGUCAAAAUGCUUCCAUGGAAUGAUGGAGGUAAUUUCGAAUAAUACAGCCUUAGAUAUACGUUUUCCUCUAACCUGAUUUACAUGUAUAAAUAGGAAGCACCGAAUGGAAGAGAACAGUGAAAACAGAGACAGUUAUGAAAUGCAGGAAGUACAUCUACAACAGAUGCCUGUUGCUUUCUGCAGAUCAGAUUGUUCUGUGGCCCACCCUUUAGUGCUCCUAAAAGGUCAGGCUCACUGGAUGGCUGGACUAGUAGCCUAAUAAAUCCCUGGUGUAAGAGUGUGUGUGUGUGCCAGUGUGUGUGUGUGCCAGUGUGUGUGUGUGCGAGAGGGUCCCCUUCCGUGUGCUGCAACUGGAAUC
This is a long non-coding RNA of Globicephala melas (long-finned pilot whale), 2479 nucleotides long. RefSeq lists it as uncharacterized. The record is from RefSeq and is a predicted model, not a curated record. NCBI's taxonomy places the organism in Eukaryota, Metazoa, Chordata, Mammalia, Artiodactyla, Delphinidae.